RNAcentral lists this long non-coding RNA (276 nucleotides) under Monodelphis domestica (gray short-tailed opossum). Its description in RNAcentral is "lncRNA (ENSMODG00000050505.1)". The record is from RNAcentral. Lineage: Eukaryota; Metazoa; Chordata; Mammalia; Didelphimorphia; Didelphidae.
GUUUGACACCUCUGAGCAUCAGUGAAGUACAAAUUGGAGGACAAAUUAAGGCCAGGGUGUAGAGCACCCCCUCUACCCACCCCACCCCCACAUUCUGACAAAUCAGUCUAUAGAUUUGCACCUCAUCGAGCAACAACAACCUAAGAAGCAAGGAAUGACCUUAGGAAGCAGCAAAAGAGACACAGGACAGUGGUGAGUGUGACAUAGGCCUAUUGGACAGUUAUAUCACAUCCAGACAUGAGCUUGGUGGAAGGCCAAAGCUGGAUAAGAAAAGAG